CGUCAACGUGUUAUAAAAACAACAAUUGCAUGCUAGGAAAUGAAUGGACAAAAUACACAACUUAUUAACCGUUCUUAUUCGUAAGUUCUACUUUGUUUCUUCUACUUUUAAAUGAAGUUAAUUUGUAAAGAUUUCGCUUAUAAAAAUAUAGUUGAGAACUUUUGAAUUGCGAAAUUGAAUGCCCCUUUUUAAUAUUAUGCCUACUGAAAUCGCGAAAAUAGAACUCCGCGAAAUACCAUCUCACCAAAUGCGAAUAACAUAGCCUUUUUUCAGUCAUCUAAGUAGUCUCGUAAAUUCUUGCUUUCAGCUUCCAAACGAUCGACAGCAUUAACCGCCUUAAAACAACCGACUCCGCCGAAAGUUACUCUUUAUCGUGUGGAGAUCAGUGUCUUAUAAAUUACUGUGAGAUUUCUAUCUGAUUUUUUGGUCUCUUUGCUAGGUUAUGGAAUGACAGAACUGACCUGCGCAUCCCAUGGUCUGGGGUCAAGGGAAAAAAUAAAGUUGGCUCCAUCGGACGUCUGCUUCCAAAUAUGGAAUGUAAGGUUAUUUAUCCUGGAACUGGCAAGAUUCUUGGACCAAACCAAGACGGAGAGAUAUGCAUUAAAGGACCAAUUGUAAUGAAAGGUUAUUUGAAUAACCCAGAGGCCACUGCGAGGACAAUUGACGCAGAUGGCUGGCUUCACACAGGAGACAUUGGACAUUAUGACGNA
Long non-coding RNA from Stylophora pistillata, 710 nucleotides. Lineage: Eukaryota; Metazoa; Cnidaria; Anthozoa; Scleractinia; Pocilloporidae. The record is from RefSeq and is a predicted model, not a curated record.